Molecule: ribosomal RNA, 465 nt
Filed under: uncultured bacterium
Lineage: Bacteria
Description: partial 16S ribosomal RNA
Rfam family: Bacterial small subunit ribosomal RNA
Source: RNAcentral
GACGAACGCUGGCGGCGUGCUUAACACAUGCAAGUCGAACGGAAAGGCCCCUUUGGGGGUACUCGAGUGGCGAACGGGUGAGUAACACGUGAGUAACCUGCCCUUGACUUCGGGAUAACUUCAGGAAACUGGGGCUAAUACCGGAUAGGAAUCCUUGCUGCAUGGUGGGGGUUGGAAAGCUUCGGCGGUUUUGGAUGGACUCGCGGCUUAUCAGCUUGUUGGUGGGGUAGUGGCUUACCAAGGCUUUGACGGGUAGCCGGCCUGGGAGGGCGACCGGCCACAUUGGGACUGAGAUACGGCCCAGACGCCUACGGGAGGCAGCAGGGGGGAAUAUUGCACAAUGGGCGGAAGCCUGAUGCAGCAACGCCGCGGGCGGGAUGACGGCCUUCGGGUUGUAAACCGCUUUCAGCAGGGGCGAAGCUUGUGGUGACGGUACCUGCAGAAGAAGCACCGGCUAACUACGUG